Long non-coding RNA from Marmota flaviventris (yellow-bellied marmot), 978 nucleotides. RefSeq lists it as uncharacterized. Lineage: Eukaryota; Metazoa; Chordata; Mammalia; Rodentia; Sciuridae. The record is from RefSeq and is a predicted model, not a curated record.
GGCAGGUGCUACCACGCAGGGCUCAGAGCUGCGAGUACCCUGCCACCAGGGGUGGAGGACACAUGCACGUCCAGCAGUCUGAACACAGGCAAUCCCAGCCCCCAGGCCACGCUGAAGUCCUCACCCCAAGGUGACAGUGACAGGAGGUGGGGACUCUGGGAGGUCAUCGGGUUUGGGUGAAGUCAUGAGGAAGGGGCCCCAUGGAUGGAAUUUUCGUCCUCCUAAGUGGACAGAGGGAACAGAAGUCCCUCUCUGUGCCAUGUGAGGAGCAGAAAACAAGAAGCCUGCUGUCCGAGGAGCAGGAGGCCCUCCCGGGGACCCCCAUCUCGGCUUCCUGCCUAUUGCCUGAGCUGCGCAUCUGGUCUGUGUCACAGUGACACUCGACGUCUCGUGCAGUUGUUAUCGACUGCAGGGGUCCAUCAGGUCACUGUCACAGACAGCAAGGUCACUAUCACAUAGAGCGACCUCACUUCCGGAAGAGGACAGCACAGAAAAUGAGGGUCACGGCUCCAAACUGCAGCGCGAGCAGCACCUGGCCUGACACCUGUGUGGCGUGGCGAGCCUUCAGUCUCAGCACCCGUGGGGCAUGAAGUGCUGGCACUCUGCGUGGGCACAAGGGCUCUACCCUCUCAGGAGCGGGUCCCCUUCCAGAGGUGGCUGACCCAGGACCCUUGGAGGCCAUCUGCGGGCCCAGCCUGCUUCCCAGGAAGGGCAGCUCAGGUUUGGACUGGCACAAAGUCAAGGACGACCAGGAACCGUGGCUUCCUACACAGGCACCGUUGAUUCUACGUUAGGAAAUGCUCCAAAUCCUGGACAGAUACACCAGCACGUGGCAGUUAGGGUUUGGGUUCAGCCCGGCAGGCUGCAGGGGUGAGAACACCCAACCCAGCCCUGCGGGAGCAGCCAUGGCCAGGGUGCCCUGGGAGGACGGUCACAUCCUCACCAAGGAGAUGGUCCUACAAGGCUGGGGAACCAGAC